ACGCCGACGUAAUACGUAGGUGGCAAGCGUUAUCCGGAUUUAUUGGGCGUAAAGAGAGUGCAGGCGGUUUUCUAAGUCUGAUGUGAAAGCCUUCGGCUUAACCGGAGAAGUGCAUCGGAAACUGGAUAACUUGAGUGCAGAAGAGGGUAGUGGAACUCCAUGUGUAGCGGUGGAAUGCGUAGAUAUAUGGAAGAACACCAGUGGCGAAGGCGGCUACCUGGUCUGCAACUGACGCUGAGACUCGAAAGCAUGGGUAGCGAACAGGAUUAGAUACCCUGGUAG
RNAcentral lists this ribosomal RNA (282 nucleotides) under uncultured bacterium. Its description in RNAcentral is "partial 16S ribosomal RNA". It matches the Rfam family "Bacterial small subunit ribosomal RNA", at positions 512 to 793 of the family's 1533-position model. The record is from RNAcentral.